GAUGCUUACUCUGCUGAGGCUGGGUGUAAACCGGUGACCUUCUGAUCACAGGCCCAGAGGCUUACUCUGCUGAGCUACAUGCUGCCCCCCCCCUCAAAACACCCACUAUCGCCUCUGGCUGGCUCUCUGGGGCCAUUUGGCAGGGACAAUGUACUGUAAAGCACUUUGAGGCAAUAUAAUAUUGUGAAAAUGCACUACAUAAAUAAAUUUGCAUUGGAUUGAAUUAGAUUAACUUUUCUGCCUUAUUCACAGAGACCAAAUUGAAGAAUGCAGUUCAGAUCUACAUGAUAAAUCAGGUUUACCAUCCAUAUUGAAGUCACUAGAGGAAAAAUCUGUAAAGUUCCUAAAGGAUGAGCUGAAGAAGUUUGUGAGGUGCCUAGAUCAGAAUUACCCAGAAUGCCCUGAGCCUCAGCUGGAGGAGGACAAUGACCUGGACAGUGAUGGUCAGAUGCAGAAGACCUGUGGUAGAGAGGGAGCUCUGAAGAUCACGCUGUACAUCCUGAGGACCAUGAAGCAAAAUGAUCUCGCUGACUUGCUGGAGAAGAGACAGCUCAUGCUGCAAUAUCUGCACAGAAUCAAAAGUAACCUGAAGCAGAAAUAUGAGUGUGUAUUUGAAGGGAAAGCUAAGGAAGGACAGCCAACACUUCUCAGUGAUAUUUACACAGAAGUCUACAUAACUGAAGGUGGGACUGGAGGAGUCAAUGAUGAACAUGAAGUGAGACAGAUUGAAACAGCAUCCAAGAAAAGGCGAACAGAAGAUACUACAGUC
Molecule: non-coding RNA, 769 nt
Organism: Paramormyrops kingsleyae
Lineage: Eukaryota; Metazoa; Chordata; Actinopteri; Osteoglossiformes; Mormyridae
Source: RefSeq, a predicted model, not a curated record